GCGAACGCUGGCGGCGUGCUUAACACAUGCAAGUCGAGCGAGAAAGUCCCGCAAGGGAUGAGUACAGCGGCGAACGGGUGAGUAACACGUGGGUGACCUGCCCUCAGCUCUGGGAUAAGCCUGGGAAACCGGGUCUAAUACCGGAUAUGACUCCAUGACGCAUGUUGUGGGGUGGAAAGCCUUGUGCGGCUGAGGAUGGGCCCGCGGCCUAUCAGCUUGUUGGGGGUGAUGGCCUACCAAGGCGACGACGGGUAGCCGGCCUGAGAGGGCGACCGGCCACACUGGGACUGAGACACGGCCCAGACUCCUACGGGAGGCAGCAGUGGGGAAUCUUGCGCAAUGGGCGAAAGCCUGACGCAGCGACGCCGCGUGAGGGAUGACGG
RNAcentral lists this ribosomal RNA (383 nucleotides) under uncultured bacterium. Its description in RNAcentral is "bacterial SSU rRNA". It matches the Rfam family "Bacterial small subunit ribosomal RNA", at positions 30 to 414 of the family's 1533-position model. The record is from RNAcentral.